RNAcentral lists this ribosomal RNA (570 nucleotides) under Triticum aestivum (bread wheat). Its description in RNAcentral is "partial small subunit ribosomal RNA". Lineage: Eukaryota; Viridiplantae; Streptophyta; Magnoliopsida; Poales; Poaceae. The record is from RNAcentral.
AUGGAGGAUUCGAUCUCGUGGAAGUUCUCCAAAGACGGCAAGUACUCCGCGGCCACGGCCUACAGUGGCCAAUUCCUUGGUUUGAUGGACACGGACAUGAACCAAAUUGUCUGGAAGAACUGGGCUCCUCCCAAGUGCAAGUUCUUUGCUUGGUUGGUCAUCAACAACAUGAUUUGGACAGCUGAUAGGCUACAACGCCGUGGGUGGCCAAAUUGUCACUUAUGCCCGUUGUGCAAGCAAGUUCAGGAAUCGGCGGCACACCUCCUUUUCCAGUGCAGGUUCACCGCCAGGGUGUGGGGCAUGCUUAAAAGUUGGUUGGGGCUGCAUGACAUUCAACUUGCGGAUUGGGCACCUUUCGAGUCUGUUAAGGCUUGGUGGAGACACAACGCCACGCAUAUGACCCAAUCGCAUCGCCCCCUGGUUUCGUUGAUGUUGCUUGUCUCUUGGAAGAUUUGGAAGGAGCGAAACGCGCGGGUUUUCGGUAAUACAACGGUCCCGGUAGGAGUGUUAGUCGCCAAGAUUAAAGAUGAAUGCUCGCUUUGGAUCCUUACGGGCGCAAAGUAUUUGUGA